This 2265-nucleotide long non-coding RNA is filed under the name Callithrix jacchus (white-tufted-ear marmoset). RNAcentral describes it as "lncRNA (ENSCJAG00000074425.1)". Lineage: Eukaryota; Metazoa; Chordata; Mammalia; Primates; Cebidae. The record is from RNAcentral.
GCUCUCUGGGGCCGGUGCCCUUCACGCUGGGGUUCCACAUAGCAACAAAUGGAGAGAGUGCCCCGGGAGUCCAUUCCCGCAGGGGUUCUUCAGAAGGGCGGUUCUCCACAGCACCUCAGAGACAGCUGUCACUUGGGGUUCAUCCAGUGACAUGGGGCCAACUUGGAGGCAGCUCCUACACAAGCACCUCAGAGUCCCCGGAGGACUGUCCACGGCCGCAAACCCGCCCCUCAUGUGACGGUCUGGUCCCUGCCGCCCCCGCUCCCACUUACCGGGACCUUCCAGGCCGGCAGACUCUACACCGCGUGCCUUGCGCUGCCCAGAGGAGCUCGAGGGCCGGCGUGCUGGGCCAAGGGCAGGCAAAAGGUAGCGCUGGCGGAGCUCCGAGUAGAGGCGUUCACCGCAGAGGCGCAUGCGCCCACGCGAGGCGCUCUUGGCCGCUGGUGGGCUCGUGGGGCGUUCCGCCCCACCCUCCGCGCCUCGAGGUGCGGGCCUCGCGGAUCAGUUGUGGGCGCCGGCGCGCUUGGAGUUGGGGGGACGCGGGAGUGGAGUUCUAUGGGGGUCGGAUGAACCGUGGGCCCAGGUGCCAGUUGGCGCCCCCUUCGAGCACCCUGGUCUGCGGCGCGGGGACUGCACCUGCCGGCCGACUGCGGCAAGGACUGUGUCAGGCCCAAGGGGGCGCAGGGCUGAGCCCGCUAACACUUCCGCUCCUCGUAAAGAGAUGGAGUCUCCUUCUGUUACCCAGGCUGGAGUGCAGUGCUGUGAUCAUAACUUACUAUUGUCUCAAACUCCUGGGCUCAAGCAAUCCUCCCUCAGCCUCUCGAGUAGCUGGGAUUACAGCCUCUCCACUGCACAGGAAUUCCAUGCCAUAGGAACUCAUACCAUCCUACGGGUUCCUCCAGUGUGAAGACCAACCUCCUGGCCCUGGCCCAUUCCAACUUCAAGAUUCUCUGCCUUAAAAGUCAAAACCCAGCCAAGAUGGGCUCCUAUAGCUCCUCCCUCUAUUGCUUGUGUUAAAGGGAUGGGGCAGUGGUCUCAGUGUUUACACGAUGAUGCUACUGGGAAAUGCAGAGUCCUCGGUCCUUUGGAAGAAAGAAUCAGCCGAGAGAUAAUUUAAAGAGGAGAAUUAAUUGAAGGAAAAUAGAGAGCAGAGAGUAUAUUUGGAAGGACAGUACACUCUAAAAGAUAAGGCAAAGGGGGCUGCUGACAGAGAAUGAGCCAACAGCAGCAGCCCCAAGAGUUCUGCAUUGGGUUUUUGUAUCAGAUUUUCUUGAGGUUCCCACCUCUGUCUUACUUAAGUCUCUGCCUUUUUUUCUUUGUCUAGUUUUCCCACUUCUGCCUUAAGUCCUUGCCUUUAUCCCCACCUAGUUCCCAUCCAGGCCUGUGGGAGUCUCCCUUACUAUUAGUUGGUCUGCAUGCAUGGUCCCCAUGUUGGAUAUGAAUUCUACCUGCAUUGCUCAUUACUGCCACCACAAAAACGUUGUAGAGUGGUCAGAUCUAGACUUAAUGCACCUAUGUAUCUCUUAGGAAUUUCUCCCUUGCUGUCUUCCCCUCCUUAUCGGCCUGUAGCUAGCUAUAUUCUGACAGAUUACCUGCAGAGCAAGCAAUUACUGGGCAUCUUAAGGGGGCAUUUCAGGGUGUUCUUUUCUGCGUAGGUAUUUCCCCUCCUCUCUGCUCAUACCCAGUAUGCAGGUUUGGGGUGGUCUCUGGGGUGCGAGAUUUUCUAGACCUCCCUUUCCUCAGGGGCUCCCUCUCCUGCUCAUGUCUGGCUAUCUGCCUACUCUAACAAUGGGAGCACACUGCUAAACUAUACUAACUGUAGCUAGUGGUAGGGGAAGCUUGUAUGGGUGCUUGGAUGUUGGCUUCUUUGGUAUCAGUAAAUACAAUGGCCAUGUGUAUUUGCUAUCUUGGCCUUUUAAAAAACAAAUCCUAGUAUCCUUGAAAAGAAAACAAUUCAUAAAGCUGGUAUUUCACCAGCAUUUCUCGAGCUCAGAGGGAGGAAAUUCCCUUCCUGUAUAGGAGAGGACAGGAAGUUCUAUUUGAAACGUCUCCGAACUUCUCCAGGCCCUCGUGCCCAAUUUUGUUUGAAAGUCAUGGAUUUUGCAAAUGUUAAGAACAGUUGCUGCUGGCUGGGUGCAGUGAUUCAUACCUACAAUCCCAGCACCUUGGGAGGCUGACGUGGAAGGAUCAAUUGAGCUCAGGAGUUGAAGACCAGAUUGGGUAAUAUAGCAAGACCUUGUCUCUAUUAAAAAUAAAAAUAAUUUA